This 484-nucleotide ribosomal RNA is filed under the name uncultured bacterium. Its description in RNAcentral is "bacterial SSU rRNA". It matches the Rfam family "Bacterial small subunit ribosomal RNA", at positions 32 to 524 of the family's 1533-position model. The record is from RNAcentral.
AAUCAACGCUGGCGGCGUGCCUCAGACAUGCAAGUCGAACGAUUAAGACUCUCUUCGGAGAGUGUAUAAAGUGGCGCACGGGUGAGUAACACGUAGGUAAUGUACCGAAGGGUGGGGAAUAACUUAGGGAAACUUAAGCUAAUACCGCAUAAUGCAGCGGCUCGACAUCGAGACAGUUGUUAAAGGAGCAAUCCGCCUUUUGAGCAGCCUGCGGCAGAUUAGCUAGUUGGUAAGGUAAUAGCUUACCAAGGCUACGAUCUGUAACCGACCUGAGAGGGUGGUCGGUCACACUGACACUGAAUAACGGGUCAGACUCCUACGGGAGGCAGCAGUCGGGAAUUUUGGGCAAUGGGCGAAAGCCUGACCCAGCAACGCCGCGUGAAGGAUGAAGUAUUUCGGUAUGUAAACUUCGUAAGAAUAGGAAGAAUAAAUGACGGUACUAUUUGUAAGGUCCGGCUAACUACGUGCCAGCAGCCGCGGUAAU